UCACGUGUGAGCCGUCGUUUUAUUGUUCUGUGUUUGUAUCUCCAGCCCGGUGCCUCCCGCGGUGCCACAACGCCGCCGUGUGCCGCGCCCCGAACCUCUGCGUGUGCCGCCCGGGUUUCCACGGCGACCGCUGCCAGUUCUCCACGGUAACGGUCCUGUCCAAUCAGAGCCAGGCGGUCAGGAGGGUCCACGUGGUCAUCGGAGGAAACGCGACGCCAGGAGGGAGUUUGAAAGACGAGGACAGAGAAGAAGAAGAGGAGAGACAGACGCCGCUCUCGAAGGAAAAUGAAGUUUUGAAAAGCGCCGAAGAGGAAACAGCUGCACAAAGGACAGAUGACAACACGAAGGCUCGACCUGAAGGCUUUGAUAAAACGACUACUGCAACUACUACUACUACUGCUGCUGUUACUGCGGCGACUGCAGGUCCAGAGCGGCAGGUGCAUGAUGGGAAACCAGUGAAGUCUGAGCAGAGGAGACCGGCCCUGAGCGUGCGUGAGGUGCAGUCGCUGCUCCUGAAGAAGGCCGCGGGAGGCCGAGGGGACAAGAUGGCCGCCCUCCUCAUGAGGCACAUGGAGAAGCAGCGCGAGCAGCUCCGCUCCGUCACCAUGGCGACAGCUACGACCCCCGCCCCGUUCAGAGAGAGGGUCAUCCACACCCACAGGGGGCAGUACACUGUCCGCAUCACUCCAGG
Molecule: long non-coding RNA, 691 nt
Filed under: Neogobius melanostomus (round goby)
Lineage: Eukaryota; Metazoa; Chordata; Actinopteri; Gobiiformes; Gobiidae
Description: lncRNA (ENSNMLG00000017793.1)
Source: RNAcentral